UAAAGUCGUCUUUGUCUAAACAGUAAACUCUGAACCUGAAGAGAAAAAUUAGGGCAGACAAGCGACGGCACAACUCCUCAGACGGGCGACUAGCGAGCGACAGACGGUGGGACGGGCGACGACAGUCAACUCCUCACUGUACGGGAGUUGCUUUGGUCGUGUUCAAUGUUGUCGGAUCAGGGACACCUGUUGCUAUAGAAAAUUAGAUUCAAGUACCUCCAAUCAGACUUAUCACGUUUGAGACGAGGCAUUUGUAGAGACUCCGAGGUAUAUUUGCCGAGUUCGAAGACCGAAGAGUCCCUUUCUACUCUCCCUUUUAAGUAUUAUCCCUUCUGUAUUAUCUUAAGUAUUAGCCCUUCUAUAUUUUCUUUCCUUUGUUAGAUAUUCUGGAGUUAGAUACUUGUAGACAU
This is a long non-coding RNA of Nicotiana tabacum (common tobacco), 410 nucleotides long. RefSeq lists it as uncharacterized. The record is from RefSeq and is a predicted model, not a curated record. NCBI's taxonomy places the organism in Eukaryota, Viridiplantae, Streptophyta, Magnoliopsida, Solanales, Solanaceae.